This 502-nucleotide ribosomal RNA is filed under the name uncultured bacterium. Its description in RNAcentral is "partial 16S ribosomal RNA". It matches the Rfam family "Bacterial small subunit ribosomal RNA", at positions 28 to 507 of the family's 1533-position model. The record is from RNAcentral.
GACGAACGCUGGCGGCGUGCCUAAUACAUGCAAGUCGAACGAACCGCGACUAGGUGCUUGCACUUGGUCAAGGUGAGUGGCGAACGGAUGAGUAACACGUGGGUAACCUACCUCAUAGUGGGGGAUAACAGUCGGAAACGACUGCUAAUACCGCAUAGGACAUAGGAUCACAUGAUCCAGUGAGGAAAGGUGGCGCAAGCUAUCGCUAAGAGAUGGACCCGCGGUGCAUUAGCUAGUUGGUAGGGUAAAGGCCUACCAAGGCGAUGAUGCAUAGCCGACCUGAGAGGGUGAUCGGCCACAUUGGGACUGAGACACGGCCCAAACUCCUACGGGAGGCAGCAGUAGGGAAUCUUCCGCAAUGGACGCAAGUCUGACGGAGCAACGCCGCGUGAGUGAAGAAGGUCUUCGGAUCGUAAAGCUCUGUUGUUAGAGAAGAACAGCGCAUAGAGUAACUGUUAUGCGUGUGACGGUAUCUAACCAGAAAGCCACGGCUAACUACGUG